RNAcentral lists this long non-coding RNA (404 nucleotides) under Salvia miltiorrhiza (redroot sage). Its description in RNAcentral is "long non-coding RNA (SMIL_LNC005619)". Lineage: Eukaryota; Viridiplantae; Streptophyta; Magnoliopsida; Lamiales; Lamiaceae. The record is from RNAcentral.
AAUGUUAUGUCCUUAGGUUUUCUUGUUUCCAAAGGUUCUGUACAAAUUCUUCUUUGUUUCUGAAGAUUACGGAAAUGUAGUUGAGAAUAGGAGUAUGAAGUUGAACCUUACACACCACAAUUCAGUUCACAAAAUAGCAUAGGAUUUUGAGCAAAAAUCAAAUACUGUAAAUUUCAGUUCAUAUGUGCAUAUGUAAACAUGUUGUGAAAUAUCUGAACAGCCGUAUGAAUUGGUAUGAAUUGGUGGUUCCCUGAGGGUGAUGAUACCUUGAGUAGGUGGAUAAUAGUCUCUGCAGAUAUUGUAUAUCACAAAAAUUAGGAAUCAAUUUGGGAAGAGAAUGGAAAGAUGCAGAAAUUUCUUUGUUGCAUUACCUUAAAAUUGGCUGUGAAAUUGGGCUGCAGUAG